This 305-nucleotide ribosomal RNA is filed under the name uncultured bacterium. Its description in RNAcentral is "bacterial SSU rRNA". It matches the Rfam family "Bacterial small subunit ribosomal RNA", at positions 334 to 638 of the family's 1533-position model. The record is from RNAcentral.
GAGCCUACGGGACGCAGCAGUGAGGAAUAUUGGUCAAUGGCCGGAAGGCUGAACCAGCCAAGCCGCGUGAGGGAGGAAGGCGCAGAGCGUCGCAGGCCUCUUUUGCCGGGGGACAAAAGGCCGGACUCGUCCGGUCCUGAGGGUACCCGGAGAAAAAGCAUCGGCUAACUCCGUGCCAGCAGCCGCGGUAAUACGGAGGAUGCGAGCGUUAUCCGGAUUUAUUGGGUUUAAAGGGUGCGUAGGCGGGUUAUCAAGUCAGCGGUAAAAUCGUGGAGCUCAACUCCAUCCAGCCGUUGAAACUGAUG